Molecule: ribosomal RNA, 253 nt
Filed under: uncultured bacterium
Lineage: Bacteria
Description: partial 16S ribosomal RNA
Rfam family: Bacterial small subunit ribosomal RNA
Source: RNAcentral
UACGGGGGGAGCAAGCGUUGUUCGGAAUCACUGGGCUUAAAGGGCGCGUAGGCGGGUUCCCAAGUCGGUGGUGAAAUCUUUCGGCCCAACCGGAAAACAGCCGCCGAUACUGGGAGUCUUGAGGGAGGUAGGGGUCGAUGGAACUUCCGGUGGAGCGGUGAAAUGCGUAGAUAUCGGAAGGAACGCCGGUGGCGAAAGCGAUCGACUGGACCUUUUCUGACGCUGAGGCGCGAAAGCCAGGGGAGCAAACGGG